AUACGGAGGAUCCGAGCGUUAUCCGGAUUUAUUGGGUUUAAAGGGAGCGUAGGUGGAUUGUUAAGUCAGUUGUGAAAGUUUGCGGCUCAACCGUAAAAUUGCAGUUGAAACUGGCAGUCUUGAGUACAGUAGAGGUGGGCGGAAGUCGUGGUGUAGCGGUGAAAUGCUUAGAUAUCACGAAGAACUCCGAUUGCGAAGGCAGCUCACUAGACUGUUACUGACACUGAUGCUCGAAAGUGUGGGUAUCAAACAGGAUUAGAUACCCUGGUAGUCCACACAGUAAACGAUGAAUACUCGCUGUUUGCGAUAUACAGUAAGCGGCCAAGCGAAAGCAUUAAGUAUUCCACCUGGGGAGUACGCCGGCAACGGUGAAACUCAAAGGAAUUGACGGGG
RNAcentral lists this ribosomal RNA (393 nucleotides) under uncultured bacterium. Its description in RNAcentral is "partial 16S ribosomal RNA". It matches the Rfam family "Bacterial small subunit ribosomal RNA", at positions 523 to 918 of the family's 1533-position model. The record is from RNAcentral.